This 559-nucleotide unclassified non-coding RNA is filed under the name Hevea brasiliensis (rubber tree). The record is from RNAcentral. Lineage: Eukaryota; Viridiplantae; Streptophyta; Magnoliopsida; Malpighiales; Euphorbiaceae.
AGCUCUUCAAAAAGGCUUUCCCUGGUUGUUUAACAGUAAGAAUUCUUCAAUGUUUUGAAAUCAUAUAUUCAAGCAAUCACUACAAUAUGUCCCUAGAAAGUAAACUCAUCCCGUGCUUAAACAUUUUGCAUUUUGUGAGCAAACAUAGAUGGCCUUAACUUUGGCACUUUGCAAGGUUCCUAUUCCUCAGGCUGCACACAUUUGUCACCCAAGAGACAUGCAUUUCUUUUUUAUUAACUUCGAAAGAAUCAUAAUUUGAGGGCAACAUAGGGAUGCUCAUGCCAAUAACUACUCAAAACAUAAUAAAAACACAAAAGGGAGGAUGUCACAUGCACUAAUCAAUGUAAAUACACAUCAAAAGGUCAUUAUCAAUAGAGGCUUCUUAUUAAAAUUUAUUGCAAAAAACUUUUAAUCCCAUAUGAAUUCAAUAAAUUUGACAAUAAUUACACUGAUAUCCGUGCCUUCGUCCAGAAAAAGUUAAACUAUCUUGAAAAAUAUCAUACGCGCACCUGUAAAGUUUUUGUAUGAAUGUAUAAUGAAGUUCCCUCUUUGCAUGAUU